GGGGGCCCGCACAGGCGGCGGAGCAUGCGGAUUAAUUCGAUGCAACGCGAAGAACCUUACCAAGGCUUGACAUGGACCGGACCGGGCUGGAAACAGUCCUUCCCCUUUGGGGCCGGUUCACAGGUGGUGCAUGGUUGUCGUCAGCUCGUGUCGUGAGAUGUUGGGUUAAGUCCCGCAACGAGCGCAACCCUCGUUCCAUGUUGCCAGCGCGUAAUGGCGGGGACUCAUGGGAGACUGCCGGGGUCAACUCGGAGGAAGGUGGGGACGACGUCAAAUCAUCAUGCCCCUUAUGUCUUGGGCUUCACGCAUGCUACAAUGGCCGGUACAAAGGGUUGCGAUACUGUGAGGUGGAGCUAAUCCCAAAAAGCCGGUCUCAGUUCGGAUUGGGGUCUGCAACUCGACCCCAUGAAGUCGGAGUCGCUAGUAAUCGCAGAUCAGCAACGCUGCGGUGAAUACGUUCCCGGGCCUUGUACACACCGCCCGUCAAGUCACGAAAGUUGGUAACACCCGAAGCCGGUGGCCUAACCCCUUGUGGGAGGGAGCUGUCGAAGGUGGGACUGGCGAUUGGGACUAA
Molecule: ribosomal RNA, 574 nt
Filed under: uncultured bacterium
Lineage: Bacteria
Description: bacterial SSU rRNA
Rfam family: Bacterial small subunit ribosomal RNA
Source: RNAcentral